GGGUCUCCUCUUUAUGAUUGCACCUGGUUUCUUGAGGUUUGUCAUCUUCAUAUUGUUUUCAUCUUGUAUUUCAGACUUUUUGAAAUUGACAGUUUAUAGUUAGUUGCUUGAUAUGAAGUUGUAGCUUGGAGUAAGGGAGUCAGAGGCAGUGGCCUAAAGCCAAUUGAAAUCAGUGGCCCCUCAGGAGUCGGCAAGGGAACUCUGAUAUCAAAGCUAAUGAAAGAAUACCCCUCAAUGUUUGGGUUUUUUGUAAGCCACACAACUUGAGCUCUGAGAUAGAAAGAAGUCAAUGGGGUUCACUAUCAUUUCACAGAACGAAGCCUAAUGGAGAAAGCCAUACUAGAGGGGAAAUUCCUUGAAUCUGCAUCAGUACAUGGUAAUCUUUAUGACACGAUCAUUGAGGCAGUUGAAACAGUAACAGGUUCUGGCAAGGGGAACAAAAACUGAGGAACAAGUUCAAAAGAGGCUAAGAAAUGCGAAAGCUGAGCUCGAGCAAGGAAGAGGCCCAGGUCUUUUUGACCAUGAUUUGGUUAAUGAUGACCUUGAAAAGUGCUAUCAAAAUCUGAAGAAAUUCCUUGCCCUAGAUGAAACCCCUGAUGUCUCUAAUGAGUCAGCAUUGGACAAAAUUCCUCUUAUUCAUUCUGUGUCUAAAAAGGAUCAGAAGACUCUGAUAAACUGUGGCAGGAGCCAAUUCAAAUCUACAACUCCUACCAUGUUUUUCAUCGAUGUAUCUCUGCAAUCAACUCAUCAACAUAUAAUAUUAAUAGGUUCGAACAACUUUAACAAUCCAUACAUCAAGCAACCGGAGCAAGAUUUCUGCACUAUCACUGACAUGUUAUUGAUUUUGUAUUACGACAUAAGAGAUGAUACAAAGUAGUGUUUGAACACCAAAAGAGCUAGCAUGUUAAGUUGCAGUUGAGACAUGGUUAUGUUUCAUUCGUUGCUAUUAGAUAAAUCAUUAUGUUCCAUGAUCUAAGUGAAAUCAGGUUGCAAACAUUUGUCUCAUGGGUGGUGAUGCCUACAGUUAUA
This is a long non-coding RNA of Asparagus officinalis (garden asparagus), 1029 nucleotides long. RefSeq lists it as uncharacterized. The transcript has 5 exons. NCBI's taxonomy places the organism in Eukaryota, Viridiplantae, Streptophyta, Magnoliopsida, Asparagales, Asparagaceae. The record is from RefSeq and is a predicted model, not a curated record.